This 386-nucleotide ribosomal RNA is filed under the name uncultured bacterium. Its description in RNAcentral is "bacterial SSU rRNA". It matches the Rfam family "Bacterial small subunit ribosomal RNA", at positions 30 to 416 of the family's 1533-position model. The record is from RNAcentral.
AUUGAACGCUGGCGGCAUGCCUUACACAUGCAAGUCGAACGGCAGCACGGGAGCAAUCCUGGUGGCGAGUGGCGAACGGGUGAGUAAUAUAUCGGAACGUGCCCAGUCGUGGGGAUAACGUAGCGAAAGCUACGCUAAUACCGCAUACGAUCUAUGGAUGAAAGCGGGGGAUCGCAAGACCUCGCGCGAUUGGAGCGGCCGAUAUCAGAUUAGGUAGUUGGUGAGGUAAAGGCUCACCAAGCCGACGAUCUGUAGCUGGUCUGAGAGGACGACCAGCCACACUGGGACUGAGACACGGCCCAGACUCCUACGGAGGCAGCAGUGGGGAAUUUUUGGACAAUGGGCGCAAGCCUGAUCCAGCAAUGCCGCGUGGCAGGAUGAAGGCC